UAUCAUUCUCUAGGGCCUCUAAUGAAAACCGUAGCCUAAGCAACUUGUUAGGAGCAGUAAGAUCAAGUUUAAUAGCAUUUGAAUAAGUUUUGAUCAGGCCUUGCUUAAUCCAUCUUCCUACAGUACUUUUGCUACAUUGGAUCCCACAUGCAAGCCUUCGAAUUGUAGAUCUUUUAGACAAGUCUAAGCUAGCAAUUAACUGUAAAUCUAAUUGCACUCUUUUUUGUCUUGGUCUUUGUAUUUUUCGACUCAUGGAACAUAUUACCUCACCAUUCUCUUUUUGCUUUUUUGCAGCUGCCCAAAUCCGAUUGAUUGUACUUCUCGAGCUGCUCCAUUUUGUAACAGCGGCUGAAAUCUUCCCCCUAGCAGGCUUCCCCUCCUUGUUGUCUUCAAGGAGGAA
Molecule: long non-coding RNA, 400 nt
Filed under: Salvia miltiorrhiza (redroot sage)
Lineage: Eukaryota; Viridiplantae; Streptophyta; Magnoliopsida; Lamiales; Lamiaceae
Description: long non-coding RNA (SMIL_LNC002230)
Source: RNAcentral